RNAcentral lists this ribosomal RNA (374 nucleotides) under uncultured organism. RNAcentral's name for it is "partial 16S ribosomal RNA". It matches the Rfam family "Bacterial small subunit ribosomal RNA", at positions 527 to 896 of the family's 1533-position model. The record is from RNAcentral.
GGAAGGUGCGAGCGUUAAUCGGAAUCACUGGGCGUAAAGCGCGCGUAGGCGGUUAGGUAAGUCAGAUGUGAAAGCCCCCGGGGCUUAACCUGGGGAACUGCGUUUGAUACUGCCUAACUAGAGUGUGAUAGAGGGAAGUGGAAUUCCACAUGUAGCGGUGAAAUGCGUAGAGAUGUGGAGGAACACCAAUGGCGAAGGCAACUUCCUGGAUCAACACUGACGCUCAGGUGCGAAAGCGUGGGGAGCAAACAGGAUUAGAUACCCUGGUAGUCCACGCUGUAAACGAUGUCUACUAGCCGUUGGGAGGGUUUGCCUCUUAGUGGCGCAGCUAACGCGAUAAGUAGACCGCCUGGGGAGUACGGCCGCAAAGGUUA